AGGGCACCACCAGGAGUGGAGCCUGCGGCUUAAUUUGACUCAACGCGGGGAAACUCACCCGGCCCGGACACCGUAAGGAUUGACAGAUUGAGAGCUCUUUCUUGAUUCGGUGGGUGGUGGUGCAUGGCCGUUCUUAGUUGGUGGAGCGAUUUGUCUGGUUAAUUCCGAUAACGAACGAGACUCUAGCCUACUAAAUAGAAGGCAAAUCAUUCGUUUGCUGUACUUCUUAGAGGGACUAGGGGCGUCUAGCCUCACGAGAUUGAGCAAUAACAGGUCUGUGAUGCCCUUAGAUGUCCGGGGCCGCACGCGCGCUACACUGAAGGAUUCAGCAAGUGUUAACCCUGGUCUGAGAAGAUCGGGUAACCUAAUGAAACUCCUUCGUGAUUGGGAUAGGGACUUGUAAUUAUCCCCCAUGAACGAGGAAUUCCCAGUAGGCGCGAGUCAUAAGCUCGCGUCGAUUACGUCCCUGCCCUUUGUACACACCGCCCGUCGCUACUACCGAUCGAGUGAUUUAGUGAG
This 519-nucleotide ribosomal RNA is filed under the name uncultured eukaryote. RNAcentral's name for it is "SSU rRNA". It matches the Rfam family "Eukaryotic small subunit ribosomal RNA", at positions 1161 to 1705 of the family's 1831-position model. The record is from RNAcentral.